AGUUCUCCAACCCCAUAAAGUUAGAAUGCAGUCUGUGAGUACUCUCUGCUCUAAUCAAGAAGGAAGGGGCUUCAGCUUCAAAUGUCAAUGCUGUAAACAUGUUAAAUCUGGAAAAUAUUUUCUAAGCAAGCAACCAUGUGUAAAAUUUACCGAACUUGUCAUGAAAGGGCUGCAGCUGCAAACCUGCAAACUUCUCACUUCCAUGAAGACUCCAGAUGCUGAGACAGGGAAGAGAGGUUUCAGCUUGGCUCCCCAGCUGUUGCACCUUAGAGCUUUGCAUGCCGCCAUCUUCUCAGCGUUUCACCAGUUACAGGGAUCACCUGUGUAUUUGCUGGUGGCUGUCUAAUAAAAGAUGUGGGUGUGGAGGAAAUAGAUUUUUAAUCAUCUGAAUGUUAUAGAGAAACAAAUUGCCAAUUUUGUUGAUGCAAGCACGUUCUCAAACAACUUGAAACUACUCCCAAACACCAACAGCCAUGUGAGAAAGAGAUGAAACGCAGUUUGUGGAAAGUAAAUUCUUGAUUAUGUUGGAAUUAAAGGGUACAUACUUUGCUGCACUUUCAAGAACUACAGGUAAGAGACACAACAGUGUUUUACUCCUAUGUCAAACAAAAAGCUGGCAAUUUACUGUGCAAAAUAAACAGAUGGAGAAAAAUAGAAAGGUGGUAUCUCUGCUUUUUAACUAUAUUCCUCAAGGGUCGUCACAAAGAGAGAAGUAAUAAUUAUAGCAACGGAGUGAGUGUUCUCUUGCCCCUUGGAAAGCUUUAUAGACUGGUUGUUUACUGCUAACUUUUGUGAAAGACUAGUUUAAGUAUAUUAAAGCUUUAUGGCCUGAGUGGGAGCCAUUACGUAUGGAAACUGACCUGACCAUUACUUAUAAGCAGGUCAGAGACUGGGAUUCAAGAAAUAACGAUGUUACCAUUGCAAAGACAGAGAACAAAACUCAACUGCAGAGAAGACUGAGAAAUGUAGUCUUCUACAUUUGAAAUAUUACAAAUAUUCUUCUAUACUUCAAAUAUUCCAAAUGUAGUUUUCAUGGAUAUUUGCUGAGCACAAACUACUUUUACUAUGCCCUCCUUCACCUAGAACAUGAUAGGCUUGAUAAACUGUUUCUAGGAGAGGCAGAAUAGAAAAGCAUAUUAGUUUUAAAAUCUGGGCUUUGGAGUGAGGUUAUCCAGGUUUGAAAGCUAGCUACACUA
This 1196-nucleotide long non-coding RNA is filed under the name Homo sapiens (human). RNAcentral describes it as "HSALNT0293435". The record is from RNAcentral. Lineage: Eukaryota; Metazoa; Chordata; Mammalia; Primates; Hominidae.